GAUGAAGAACGCAGCGAAAUGCGAUAAGUAAUGUGAAUUGCAGAAUUCAGUGAAUCAUCGAAUCUUUGAACGCACAUUGCGCCCGCCAGUAUUCUGGCGGCAUGCCUGUUCGAGCGUCAUUACAACCCUCAGGCCCCCGGGCCUGGCGUUGGGGAUCGGCGGAGCCCCCCGUGGGCACACGCCGUCCCCCAAAUACAGUGGCGGUCCCGCCGCAGCUUCCAUCGCGUAGUAGCUAACACCUCGCGACUGGAGAGCGGCGCGGCCACGCCGUAAAACACCCAACUCUUCUGAAGUUGACCUCGAAUCAGGUAGGAAUACCCGCUGAACUUAAGCAUAUCAAUAAGCGGAGGA
This 351-nucleotide unclassified non-coding RNA is filed under the name soil metagenome. RNAcentral's name for it is "partial contains 5.8S ribosomal RNA, internal transcribed spacer 2, and large subunit ribosomal RNA". The stretch from base 1 to 119 matches the Rfam family "5.8S ribosomal RNA", at positions 35 to 154 of the family's 154-position model. The record is from RNAcentral.